Molecule: non-coding RNA, 100 nt
Filed under: Kocuria palustris
Lineage: Bacteria; Bacillati; Actinomycetota; Actinomycetes; Micrococcales; Micrococcaceae
Also listed under: 1 other name
Description: SAM-I sequence
Rfam family: SAM riboswitch aptamer (S box leader)
About the family: The SAM riboswitch is found upstream of a number of genes which code for proteins involved in methionine or cysteine biosynthesis in Gram-positive bacteria. The SAM riboswitch acts at the level of transcription termination control.
Source: RNAcentral
UAUCUAUCCAGAGCGACCGAGAGACCUGGCUCGUCGACGUCGCAGCAACCACCCCCGCGGAUCUCGCGGGGAACGGUGCUCCCGCCAGGACCGAUGGAGC